GGGCUUCGGGGAGUGGGGGGUUGCCUUUAGCGGAGCGGUCUUUUCGACGCCGACGCCGAAGUAACCUGUGGAAUUGAGGGAACCCGGCCCCAGUGCGAGCCCUGAGUGAGGGGCGCUGAGCGGGAGAGCCCGGCAGCACUGAUUGCUGUGUGGCGGUGCCUGAAGCCCUCAGCAGAACCCCACAGAGGUGGGCUGGAGCCCUGCUCCCCAUAACGGCACUGCCAUAGUGCGUGCAGCCUCUAGGAGCAGCUGGGUGCGUUGAAAGACCAUCUCCAAGGUGUCUUGAAAACUAAUGGUGCAUGAGUCUACAUUAUGUCAUCAGUCUGGUAGGAUUGGGUGGAGACAUGACGGCCUUGGAAUGGUGAGUACUGACCUUUGAACACUGACAGAGGAUGAGUAAGGCUCCAUAAAGCAGGGAAUGUAUUUGGGCUUCUAAAUUACCAUGAUUUUCCAAUAUUUGAGAGAUCAAUGGAAGGUUAUAACUUUAUGUAUAACGCUGAAUUUGUACCACCUUAAGACUUAAAAAAUAAAGGCAAAGAAGACUUUGAGCAUUUUAGAUCAAAUUGCCUCAUUCCUUAAAUGAAAAAAAUAGAAGGAAAACAAUCAAAAUAUCUACUCUCAGGUACUUGCAAGAUAAUAAAGUGUUAUGAAACAGUUAACAUAAUAAUGUUGAAUCAACCCUUCCGACAGUCCAGCAGUCCUGGGCAGAUAGAGUAAAUCUCAACUUCAUAUGACCUGUGAUCUUGCCUCUUGUGUUUUUCCCACAAUUACCCAAGGAAAUGCAGUCCAGUCAGGACACCUCCACAGCCCCAAAUAGUUGGGAAGUUUCUCCUGUAGGGUGGUUCCUAAUGGCUGACGGUCACCCGAUACUAUGGAGGACAGGCAUCCUUGGCAGAAUGAGAAUUGGCCACAGGGUUGUGGUUAUAAUUAGAGACUUGUUAUUACAAAUUUAGUUAUGAACAUAGCUUAUAAUCUACAAUUUCUAGGGUCUAACAUAGCUUACAGUUGCACAGAAUUUCUAGAAUUCUCAGUUAUGUACACUUUCCAGUUACCUACAUCCUCUGUAGAUCUGGUCAAAUUCUUAACAACCAGCAUGUAAUACAAGAGUCACAACCCAGACUCAGGCUUUAAGUAGAAGAUCACGAGUCAAAGGCUCAAUCAGAUCUCAGAGGAAUACAACAGAGGUGUUCCUGGCCUCUGAAGGAUUCCAGGUUUUGCUGUCCAGCUGUGGCACCAAUCAAAGUCCCACUCAGGGUUUGCUGCUGAUUCAUUUUAUAGAGAGUGUUCUCUGUAUUUUCCUGUUCCAAGAUGGGUGUCACCACAUUCUGGCAACUCAGCAGCUGGGGCUUGGUAAUGCUUGUGGCCUUCUCAUCCUGUUAAAGGGUGUCCCUCCAUGCUGGCGCCGGAGAGGAGGAGAGAGAAGGGUGGAAGGUAAUAUAUGACCAGCCUCCUUAUGGAUAUUUACCUUAUUGUUGCUUAUGCUGGCUGUUAUCAAGGGGUACUAGUAUUAAACUCACAAGUUUGGUACUAUUCUGUAUCUUUACUGAAUGCCCAAAUCAUGAAAUGGCCAAAAUGUUUAGUAAAUUAUCAGACUAGGAGGGCUUGAAAGCCCACUAGGUAUCAGGAUUGUGUUAUGAUAUUCUUGUGCCAAGCCAAAGAAAUGAUCCCAAAUGCAUGAAAUGGCAGGCAAGAGAAAAUGCCUCUGGCUAUAAAUACAAGCUGAAGAACAGCUGGUUAAUCAGGAGUUUUGGGGUAAUCCUAGAUCACAAACUGAUGAACCAACCAGUAGGAAAAAGGAAAAAAAUCCAGUUAUGCUAAGAUGAAUACACAGGAGCAUUACACAUAAGAUCUAUGCAGUAAUCCUUUUGCUCCGCUGCUAGUAAGUGAGGAUGCUGUGUUGUUUCAUGCUGUUGUUUCAAUAAUUACAUGAACUCACUGAAAAUAGGCCAAAGUAUUAUCCAAACUUUAGAAGAUGUGAUUUUUGAUUUGAAGAAUUGCAGUUUUUAGGAGUUGUAUGGGAAAGAGGAAAACUGUCUUGAAAUAUACAAAUAAUGCUGGAAAGAUAACAAGAAUAGUUGUUUUCUUUGUCCUCUGUCACUGAAUCAUACGAUGUCUGAGGCUGAAAGGCCCUGGUGGUCCAACCCUCUGCUCAGAGCAGGGUCAGCUACAGGAGGCUGCCCAGGAGCGUGUCCAUGGAGCUCUGAGUAUCGCCAAAAAUGGGAACUGCACAACCUGCCUUGGCAAGCUGGGCCAGUCUUUGUCCACUCUCACAACAAAAAAAGUUUUUUCUUAUCUUUACGUAGAAUUUCUUGUAUUUCAGUUUAUGCCCUCUUGUCCUGUCACUGGGUAGCACUGAGAAGAGUCUGGCUCAGUCUUCUUUUCUCCCUCCCACCAGUCACAUACACACAUUGACAAUGUCAUCCUUGAGCCAUUUUUUUGGUUUUGUUUCUGUGGGGUUUUUUUGUUUGAGGCUAAUCAAUCCCAUCUUUUAUCCCAGAUAAGAAAGAAUGAGUAGAAUUGCAGGAAAAAUGAGUUAGAUUAGACAGAAAGUCGGUCUGGAUAAAUAAAUAUGGGAAUAGACUGCUCAGUGAAAUGAGCUGUGCUUGCACACACCACUACUGGUUUUUAAGAACAGCCAAAAUGGGCUGAAAGAUGAGAUUUCUGAGCUGCAUUAUGCAUGCAGCUGUUCUGCCGGCUGAUUUGAUUUGCCUCGAGCCUCUAUGUUAAUUAUGAUGACAAAGAUAAAACUUGCCAGCAAUCUUAAAAACAGAUGCUACUACCCUACCUUUAAUCAAACACAGCAUCCACAGACAAAUGCCACUGAACAGCACCAACUGUGGCCACAGCUUCGAUUCUUAAUCAGAGCAGCCAUUUAUCCUUUGGUUUUGUUCUGUUUGGAUUCAGCUGAGGGAAGAUAGAAUAGAAAGCACUCAUUUCUGUUGUAAAAGGCUUCCGAAAGGACCGGGCUGAAAACGUUUGCAUGCCGUAAGAAGGCAUUCAAGGCUUCCAAGCAAACCGGAUUCCGUUCCGCUCCGUUCCGCUCCGCGCUUUCCCGCGGCUCACAGUCGCCCCCUGCUGGCCGCCGCCGGCCGCUCGCUUCCCGGAGCGGCGUCACGCUGCUGGUGGGGUCACGCAUGGAGCUACGGCUGGAACGAGCAAAGUCCGUGUUUUCCAAGUGCGGCAAUAUAGCUGCUUCACCUGUUCCCGAGGAAGAUAAUUCUGCGCUUAGUAAUCGUGCCGCAAAAGCGCAUUUUCUUGAUGUAACUCUUGGCUGUACGGUGAGUGUUAAAUUCUCGUUCCUUCACAUCGUUUCUUCCACUGCCUGCGUUUUGCUGGGAUUAAGGUUGGUGGGAAACUUAUUUCUUGACUCAAGCCCAAGUAACUUCAGCUUUUAAAUUUGGAAGUUUUUUUAGAUCCUGGAUUUGCCAAGAGUGCCUGCUGCACAUAGCCCACUCCUAUCGUGUGCUAAAGUGACCAGAUGAACUAACACAGAAGUCAGGCUUUUCUUCCUCUAUCAUUUACACAAACACACUCACUUCUGUUCCAAUUCCUCACAACUUCGGCUAUGCAAUCCUUGAAACAGAAAGUACAAGGAAGAUCCUAAGCACAAAAAACUCCUUGGUUUUCCUGCCCCCGAGGGAGAAGAAUAUUACAGGAAAGAAUGCAUCAGGAGUGGACGACUAGUGAAUGAGGCUCUGCUUGGAUCCCAUCUGGAAACGGCUAUCAGUAUUACAUGGAGCUUGAAACAUGUUGCGUGCAAGUAGGGUUCUAAAAGCCUCAUUUGGAACCCAAAUCUGAAAGCAUCCUGUUUUGUUGUGUUUUUUUUUUUUAAUGCUAUAUGUUUCUAAGCUGUUUGUUUUAACUGGAACUGCAGGAACCCUAGGCUUCCAAUUGCAUGCAAACCUGCCCUAACCUGACACCUUUUAUGAGCUUAAAAAAAAAUAUCAGAGGAAUGUAGGCUUCUACCAGAGCCUGCCACCAAAGCGUGGAAACAUCCUGCCAACAUGUUUACUCACUGCUGUAAUGAACACAUGCAAGAUUAGAAAGUUUGUUUAGGUAUUACUGGAAACCUUUUUCCAUCACAAUCCUUUCAGCUGUUUCACAAGGACUGAGCAGGAAAUUCGGCCUUUGGGCUCAUGUGUAAGGUACGUGUAGUGGUGAGGGAAACUUACCAGCUGUAACCCAGGGAGCUGCCUACUGACUGCACUGUGGGUCACUACCAGACUAAGGUACAGGAACUUGCAAUGACAUGAACAACAGAGGGAAUUAAGAGUCACAGCCUAAAUUGGCUCUUUUGACAAUGUCAUGUAAUGUGCUUGGGAUAGUUUGCCUGCGUAUGGCACAACUGCAAUAUAAUUGCAAACAUCAAGAAAUGAGUAUGAAGACUUAGGUGGGUUGGGAUGGCCGUAACGUAAAUCUGAGGCAGGGGAGGAGCUGCAGCCCAGCGAUGCAGUCAAUUUCUCUGCUUUAUAAAACACAUCCUGUGAUUUCCUUCUCGUGUAUUGCUUCUUAGUGUAGUCAAGCACAAACUAUUUAAGGCAGGGAUUCACUGUGCAUGCAAUUCUAUGUUAUGUAAUAAUAAUGAUGUGUCUAAUUGCUAUUGUAAAAAAAAAAAGUAUAAUAAUAAUAAUAAUAAUGGCUAUGAUUUUUGCCUUCCAAAGUAGUGUGUAUUUUCUUUGAAGUAAUCAGGGACUUGUUGCUAGGCAGUUAAUAUUUAAGGUACCUUAAAUAUUUUAAUGCGUCUAUGCCUGCUGUUUCUAGGCACCAAUAUUUGUUUAUGUUAUCAUUAUACAACCCUUUCUACCUUAUAUCCUCUGUUCAGUCUAAUCUAAUGGAUCCAUACAGUGAAAUUUCAGUCACACUUUUUUUUUUUUUUCACAGAUAGAUUUACUUUGCUACUGAGAAUGAUAAAAUCCCUCUGAUGUAGAUUUGUUCUUUGUCAGGAUGUUUUGCACUAAUACCACUUAUUCUUUCUUUGCACAGUCCUCCUCCCAGGUGUGUUCUGUCUUUUGAUGGCUUGGUGUGUAGGCAUGUAGUAAUUUUAAUAAAGGUUUGAAUUUAAUGGUUGAGAAUCAAGAUUCAAGAUCACCUUUAAUUGCAGAUGUAAACUAGGAGUUGAAAUGCUGACUUUUUUGACUAAGCUCUAAAUUUUUAAGAAGUCUUCACAUGUAAUCUCUUCACAUGAUAAGACAAUGGGCCAAGAGAAACAGAGAGAUUUCAGGGUAGCAGGAGGGCAGUUGAAGAGGGCGAGGGUGAGGUAUAAGAUCUCAUCAGAAAUUACAACUAUGAGGGAAGAUCCUGGGGAGCAAGUAAGCACUAACAACUACUGAAAUACAUAACUAGGGGAAUGUGCUGCCACUACUUCAAUCCUUCGGAAGAAUCAUAGAAUCACAAGGUUGGAAAGGACCUACAAGAUCAUCUAGUCCAACCGUCCUCCCAUUACCAUUGCUACACAAGCUCUAAACCAUGUCUCGUAGCUUCUCAUCCAGACAGAAGUAAAAAUAUCAAAUCUUUUUGGCAGCUCUGCAACACUGCUUUAGAUUUUCCUUGGUUUCGUCUCAAUUUUAUUCAAAUAAGAUAGAAAAAUUCCUGCUGGGUAAAGUGUUCUUACAUACAAAAGUUAAGCUGCAAGCUGUGCACUUGGAGAGCCAUGAGACGUUGUCUCUUUGUAUUCUUUGCCUCAGAUCUAUAUGGGCUGCAGAAAAUAUCCAUUAUCUGCUCGCCAACCCUAUGGGAAAUACACCAAAAGAAUUAUUCCAAACCUUGCUCAUUUCUGCAAAGGAGGUGAGCUUUCCUGAAAGAAUAGAAAUGGAUGAGAACUCCAGAUGAUGAGAGGCAAUAAAUCAGGGCCUAAAGUAAUUCAUGUGAUGAUUUUGCAGACACAGUCUGUUCAUUACCAGGUAUCACAGAAAGUUCCAUACCACUUUGUUGCUAAAUUUGUUUUUUAGCAUAUUUCUUCUGUUGUUUUAAAACUAAGAUACCCCCCUCACUCCUUUAUUUGUAAAGGAUUUAAAAUUUGUGAAUGCAAUUGAACAGCCCUGCAGACAGAACCUCUGUGCAAUCAAUGUGUGUAAUUAAAGUAAUAGCACAUCGAAGUUCGUUA
Meleagris gallopavo (turkey) is the source of this 6103-nucleotide long non-coding RNA. RefSeq lists it as uncharacterized. NCBI's taxonomy places the organism in Eukaryota, Metazoa, Chordata, Aves, Galliformes, Phasianidae. The record is from RefSeq and is a predicted model, not a curated record.